CCUUUCUUACUCAUUUUUGAAUGACAAAGCCUGCAGUUAACUACUACGAUUUGCUGGAGUUACUGCAAAACUUUGAGAAGGAUCACCAGCUCUAAAAGGAGUCGGUGAAUGUUAUGGCAGGAUCUUCUUCUAAAUGUCGAUCCUUUAAGAAAGAAAAGAAGAACAAAAAGAACAAGAAAAUGGUGCAAAGUGCUGGAGAACCCAAGCCC
Molecule: long non-coding RNA, 209 nt
Filed under: Elaeis guineensis (African oil palm)
Lineage: Eukaryota; Viridiplantae; Streptophyta; Magnoliopsida; Arecales; Arecaceae
Description: long non-coding RNA (EGUI_LNC080032)
Source: RNAcentral